UUUUAACCGGUGAUGGGAUGGACGAGAACCCGCGACAGGGUUCGACAAAACGGCCUGCCCGUUUUGGACCGCCGCAGGCGGCCCGCAGGGCGAGCGCUUCGCGCGAGUCAAUCCCUCCCUCACCGCCA
Molecule: small RNA, 128 nt
Filed under: Dickeya dianthicola
Lineage: Bacteria; Pseudomonadati; Pseudomonadota; Gammaproteobacteria; Enterobacterales; Pectobacteriaceae
Description: RtT sRNA
Rfam family: RtT RNA
About the family: This family represents a bacterial cis-regulatory element known as RtT RNA. The exact function of RtT is unknown although it is thought that it may be involved in changing the cellular response in relation to amino acid starvation.
Source: RNAcentral